Molecule: ribosomal RNA, 550 nt
Filed under: Salmonella enterica subsp. enterica serovar Livingstone
Lineage: Bacteria; Pseudomonadati; Pseudomonadota; Gammaproteobacteria; Enterobacterales; Enterobacteriaceae
Description: bacterial SSU rRNA
Rfam family: Bacterial small subunit ribosomal RNA
Source: RNAcentral
GAACUUUCCAGAGAUGGACUGGUGCCUUCGGGAACUGUGAGACAGGUGCUGCAUGGCUGUCGUCAGCUCGUGUUGUGAAAUGUUGGGUUAAGUCCCGCAACGAGCGCAACCCUUAUCCUUUGUUGCCAGCGGUCCGGCCGGGAACUCAAAGGAGACUGCCAGUGAUAAACUGGAGGAAGGUGGGGAUGACGUCAAGUCAUCAUGGCCCUUACGACCAGGGCUACACACGUGCUACAAUGGCGCAUACAAAGAGAAGCGACCUCGCGAGAGCAAGCGGACCUCAUAAAGUGCGUCGUAGUCCGGAUUGGAGUCUGCAACUCGACUCCAUGAAGUCGGAAUCGCUAGUAAUCGUGGAUCAGAAUGCCACGGUGAAUACGUUCCCGGGCCUUGUACACACCGCCCGUCACACCAUGGGAGUGGGUUGCAAAAGAAGUAGGUAGCUUAACCUUCGGGAGGGCGCUUACCACUUUGUGAUUCAUGACUGGGGUGAAGUCGUAACAAGGUAACCGUAGGGGAACCUGCGGUUGGAUCACCUCCUUACCUGAAAGAA